Molecule: small nucleolar RNA, 138 nt
Organism: Tachyglossus aculeatus (Australian echidna)
Lineage: Eukaryota; Metazoa; Chordata; Mammalia; Monotremata; Tachyglossidae
Source: RefSeq, a predicted model, not a curated record
CCCAUCUCAGAGUCACACCUGGAGAGUUUCCAGUACUUUAUCAGUCUUGACUACAGGAAGGAGAGUCAAGCAGAGGCUUAUCCAUUCCAUUCUUAGCUUGGGCAGUGGCUAGCGAGUGGAAGACCAUCUGCUAAAAGU